UACGAAGGGGGCUAGCGUUGUUCGGAAUGACUGGGCGUAAAGGGCGCGUAGGCGGCGCAUUUAGUCAGGCGUGAAAGCCCUGGGCUCAACCUAGGAAUUGCGCUUGAUACUGGUGUGCUGGAGUGCGGGAGAGGAUGGUGGAAUUCCCAGUGUAGAGGUGAAAUUCGUAGAUAUUGGGAAGAACACCGGUGGCGAAGGCGGCCAUCUGGACCGUUACUGACGCUGAGGCGCGAAAGCGUGGGGAGCAAACAGG
Molecule: ribosomal RNA, 253 nt
Filed under: uncultured bacterium
Lineage: Bacteria
Description: partial 16S ribosomal RNA
Rfam family: Bacterial small subunit ribosomal RNA
Source: RNAcentral